RNAcentral lists this long non-coding RNA (1337 nucleotides) under Olea europaea (common olive). RNAcentral describes it as "long non-coding RNA (OEUR_LNC012280)". Lineage: Eukaryota; Viridiplantae; Streptophyta; Magnoliopsida; Lamiales; Oleaceae. The record is from RNAcentral.
UUUUCAAUUUUACCGGUGAAGUUGUCUUUCUCAAGUCUUCCUACUGAAAUCAAAUUCCUAGAUAAUUCCGGAAUGUAUCUAACUUCCUUUAACAUGUACACAAAGCCUGUGUUAAAUUUUAUCUUUAUAUCUCCAAUUUCAGCAAUUGUAUAAGCGAAGUUAUCACACAGAACUACUUGCCCAUCAUUAGAUUCUUGCAAGUUUUCAAACCAGUUCUUUUCAGAUGUCAGAUGAAAAAACGCACCAGAAUCUAAUAUUCAUUCAUGCAUGUGAGAAUUAGUAGUUAGAUUUAAUUCAGUAGUGUAUGCGACUGGACUAGUGAUCACAUAGACUUCACCGUUUUCGAUAUCGGAGGUAGAGGAUAACACAUUUACCUCAUCUCUUUCCUUAACCUUCUAUUUUCCCUUUUCUUUAUGACAGUCUUUUAUAAAAUGCCCUGUGCCUCCACAGCCAUAGCAUUUUCUAGCCUUAGUUCUAGACUUUGAUCUAGGUCUACCAUUCCCCUUCUUUUUCCAACUAUUACUACUUGAUUCGCCACUACUUUGGUAUCUACCAUGACUGGCUUGUCUAAAUUGAGUUCUACCCCGCAUUAUAUGCAACUCUCCACUCCUCCUAUCCUGUUUUUCAGCCCUCAUUUUCAUCUCCUUACUCCAAAGAGAAUCUACGACAAUUUCAGGUGUUAACGUGUCCCUACCAUACUUAAUGGCAUUUUUAACUUCUAUAUAAGAGUCCAGGAUUGAAUUGAGCAAGAUAAUGGCCUUAUAGGUUUCAGACACGGCUUCAUCACAAUUGACAAUAUCUUGCACCAAUUUGUUAAUCUAAAUUGAGUUUUACCCCGAAUUAUAUGCAACUCUCCACUCCUCCUAUCCUGUUUUUCAGCCCUCAUUUUCAUCUCCUUACUCCAAAGAGAAUCUACGACAAUUUCAGGUGUUAACGUGUCCCUACCAUACUUAAUGGCAUUUUUAACUUCUAUAUAAGAGUCCGGGAUUGAAUUGAGCAAGAUAAUGGCCUUAUAGGUUUCAGACACGGCUUCAUCACAAUUGACAAUAUCUUGCACCAAUUUGUUAAAUACAUCUAAAUUGUCGUCGAGAUCCUUUGAAGGAUCCAUUUUAAAGCUGAAGAAUCGUUCGAGUAGGUAGAGUUUAUUCGGUGUAGAUUUAAGCAAGUAUAAGUCUUAUAGUUUUUUCCAAAGUUCUUUGAUGGUUUUUAGUUUUCCCACUUUUCUUAAGACAGCGUCAAACAAGUGUAAUAUUGUUGACGUAUAGGCAAGCUCAUCGGCUUCCUCUUUUUGUUCUUUUGAGAUAUCAGGUGCAAAAUUGCCUUCGAUGGCUUUUGAC